RNAcentral lists this ribosomal RNA (433 nucleotides) under uncultured bacterium. Its description in RNAcentral is "partial 16S ribosomal RNA". It matches the Rfam family "Bacterial small subunit ribosomal RNA", at positions 29 to 507 of the family's 1533-position model. The record is from RNAcentral.
AACGAACGCUGGCGGCAUGCCUAACACAUGCAAGUCGAACGAGACCUUCGGGUCUAGUGGCGCACGGGUGCGUAACGCGUGGGAACCUGCCCUUAGGUUCGGAAUAACUCCCCGAAAGGGGUGCUAAUACCGGAUAAUGUCUUCGGACCAAAGAUUUAUCGCCUUUGGAUGGGCCCGCGUUGGAUUAGCUAGUUGGUAGGGUAAAAGCCUACCAAGGCGACGAUCCAUAGCUGGUCUGAGAGGAUGAUCAGCCACACUGGGACUGAGACACGGCCCAGACUCCUACGGGAGGCAGCAGUGGGGAAUAUUGGACAAUGAGCGAAAGCCUGAUCCAGCAAUGCCGCGUGUGUGAUGAAGGCCUUAGGGUUGUAAAGCUCUUUUACCCGGGAUGAUAAUGACAGUACCGGGAGAAUAAGCUCCGGCUAACUCCGUG